CAUUAAGUGGCUGAAACUUUAAGCAUUGGUCUCUUAAACCAAAUUAUAGUAAAUAAAAAAUACUCUUAAUGACC
RNAcentral lists this transfer RNA (74 nucleotides) under Plautia stali. RNAcentral describes it as "tRNA-Lys". It matches the Rfam family "tRNA". From Rfam's summary of the family: Transfer RNA (tRNA) molecules are approximately 80 nucleotides in length. The record is from RNAcentral. Lineage: Eukaryota; Metazoa; Arthropoda; Insecta; Hemiptera; Pentatomidae.